Molecule: long non-coding RNA, 789 nt
Organism: Triticum aestivum (bread wheat)
Lineage: Eukaryota; Viridiplantae; Streptophyta; Magnoliopsida; Poales; Poaceae
Exons: 2
Source: RefSeq, a predicted model, not a curated record
UGGACCAGACCACAUCCCCUCGCUCCCCCCUCACUCUCCUCUCCACCAACCCUAGUUCCCAAAUCCGUCGCCGUAGCUAGGCACUGCCGCCACAACGAUUGUCGCCGCAUGCAGCCACUCCCGCCGCCGGCGACAUCAUCCUCAUGUCAUCUUCGAGCUCCAUCCGCUCUAGACUGUUUGGCCGCUUAGUUUCUGUGCCUUUGACCGAUUUCCCCGAUUGUGGCGACGCCGUGAAAUUCUACCGCUCUAGCACCGAUGAGCACGAUGGUUGGGUUUUCUACAAGUGCAGCAAGCACUCUGUGCAGCAGAGGACAGGGGGGAGAACUUGAGAGGAAGAGGAGUGAAUCAAUGGAAGGAAGAAGCAUAAGUGGAAGAGGCAUAGCUGGAAGAGGCAUUGCAAGCAGAGUUAAUUUUGGCAGCCCUAGUGAGCAGAACGUUUCUACCAAGCAGCAAGCUACUGUGCUGCUUGGAUUGGGUAGAGAGAUCCUUCUAGUGCUGGAGCUGGUGAUGGCUAGUGUUAUGGUGCUUUAUGUGCCGUGUUUCAUCUUAAUUAUGAACAACUGAAGUGUUGAUAGAUGAAUAGGUGUUUUAGGUGAAGUAGCCCUUAGUUAAGCAGACCAAAAGCCUUUGUUUGGUAAGGUUGUAAUGGCUUUAUUUUGGUUUGGCUGCAUGAUCAAGUGGCAUAGUUGCUCCUGUUAGUAUGGUUGUAAUGAAUUUAUUUUUUUAUGGUUGUAAUGGAUGAUCUAUCAAGUAAUAUGAAGACUAUAGUAUCAUUGCUUCUUCUGCCAA